GUUCUUGUAGUUGAAUUACAACGGCGGUUUUUCAUAUCGUUGGUCCUGGUUAAAAUCCUGGUGAGAAUU
Molecule: transfer RNA, 69 nt
Filed under: Psammoperca waigiensis
Lineage: Eukaryota; Metazoa; Chordata; Actinopteri; Centropomidae
Description: tRNA-Glu
Rfam family: tRNA
About the family: Transfer RNA (tRNA) molecules are approximately 80 nucleotides in length. Their secondary structure includes four short double-helical elements and three loops (D, anti-codon, and T loops).
Source: RNAcentral